ACUCAAACAUAAAAAAAAAAGAGGAGAAAAAGGGAAAGCAAUGAGCUAUGUCAGAGACAAGAGAAAAACGAACUACAUCUAAAACGCAAGGGACCUCAUCUCAAUGAGGAAGAAAACUCUUGUCAAAAAUCCUCAGUCUCUAAGGAGGAACCCAACACUAGCAGGAGAAAAUAGACUUCCUCAAAGUAACGAGAUGUUCAGACCCCA
RNAcentral lists this long non-coding RNA (207 nucleotides) under Elaeis guineensis (African oil palm). RNAcentral's name for it is "long non-coding RNA (EGUI_LNC061184)". The record is from RNAcentral. Lineage: Eukaryota; Viridiplantae; Streptophyta; Magnoliopsida; Arecales; Arecaceae.